This is a long non-coding RNA of Engraulis encrasicolus (European anchovy), 842 nucleotides long. RefSeq lists it as uncharacterized. NCBI's taxonomy places the organism in Eukaryota, Metazoa, Chordata, Actinopteri, Clupeiformes, Engraulidae. The record is from RefSeq and is a predicted model, not a curated record. The transcript has 4 exons.
AACAAUUUGUUUAAUGCAUUUCGAGCACAUAAUAGACAACCCAGAAUUUCCCCUAGCACCACUCAACUACAGGCCUGUUCAAACAAUGCAAGGACCGUCUGUACUUGCAUGGCCCCGCAGAUAUUCAAUGCCAUCGCACUUUAUGGCUUUUGAGUAAAAAAAAUCGCCUCAUUAGAACCAGUUAUAUAAGGACUGAUGGGACAUAGGAUACGAUGCUCUGUCUAGUCAGUUUUGCUGUUUCACUCAAAACAUUGCGAUCAAUGCCACGUCGUCUAAAUGGAAGCGGCUGGAUGUAUUGCGUUGUGUCGUUUGAUUAGGUGUGUAUCCUGCUUGUCUUUCAGAGCACUUCAGGCGUCGGUGUAACGCUCUUCGCUCAGCAUCCAAACCGUGCCACCUCCACCAACAGCCAGAAGAUCAGCCGUCGAUGGGGCAUGCGUUAUCACUACCAGAGCAACGAGGUGCCAUUCCAGUGAGAUUUCCACAAAGAGAAGUGUCAAGAUAAAAACAGAUGCACCACGGACCCUUUCAACCUCAACACCAGUCCAACCAAGGUCAAGUAAAACAUCCAGGUUAGAGGAGGAAGAGGACAGCAUCACAACACCACCUGACCCUUUGAUAUCUGGCAUUUGGAGAAAGGGCACAUCACAGUCGUCUGUGUGACACCCCCUCGCUGCAUGCCAGCACCCAAACCAAACCACCUCCACCACCACCGGUCAGAUCAUCUCGCUGAAGAUGUGUACAGUACGCUCCUGCCUGCAUCCUACCACCACAAGUUCACCCCAGAGGAUCUGCUGUCGACCACCAUUGUGAAAUCGUUGCAAUUAUGAAACACACUUAAUAAA